GGACGCGGGAGGGGGAGGGCUGUGCUGUCCAUUUGGCGGGACCUUUUCUUGGCUACAGAUGGUAAGGUCCCGCCUCCCGUUGGUGGUCUUCGGCUUCGUUAGGUGCGGGCUGGGCUCCUAAACACUGCACCCCACCCAGCUCCCUCUGCCUUUCCACCUGUUUAUCGAGAAACCUCACAGAGCAUCUCUACGCUGCUGAGUCCUGAGAACCCUGCCCAGUGAGCCCAGGCGCUGCCCUUGGGAUGCUCAGUGUCUGCCUCUCCCCUGGGCCAGGCGCUUCCCAGGUUCGGGAACCUCAUCACUCUGCCCCAGUGUGGUCCCGGCUCGGCAUAGCAGCUCCGUCAACAGUGGACUGACCAAUGGAUGAGUACAGUAGAGUCACAGACGAAGAGCUGUGGGAGCACUGAGAAGAGAAUGCUCUCAGAUGAGGCCCAAUCUCCUUAACUGAGCAUUCAAGGCCUCACGUGAUCCUGCGCCUGCCACCCUCUCCAGCCUGCCUCCGCUGCCUCUCUCUGAUGUGGAUCCAGCUCUCUGGUUGCAUCAGGCAGGGACAACGCUGAUUCGAGGAUCCCGGAACCUAGCAUGAGACCUGGUACAGGGAAGAUGUCAGAAAAAGCUUAUUGACUUCCUCAAGGGUAAGGACUGUAUCUUUUUCAUCUCGUUGCCCACUCCCUGCCUCCGCAGUCAUGUGCACUCUAGGGACUUGGGAAAUACAGUGUGGGAUCCAGUAUUACAUUUUGUGUUACCCGGAAUAACUGUUGUCAUCGUUUAUCCAUUUAUUCACUUGUUCACUCAUUCAAUACAUUUAUCAGGUAAGUGCUCUUUGCCAAGACCUGUGUAGGUACUGCAGAUAUACUGGUGAGGAGAAAGGCUGGGUAGACCCAGUCUCUGCUCUCCUGGAGCUUUUGAAGUUCAAGGUCAAGCUGAGAAGAGGGAGUACACUCCUCACUAGAAUGUUCAGCAAAGGGGUCCUUUAGGGAAAGACCAG
RNAcentral lists this long non-coding RNA (988 nucleotides) under Equus asinus (donkey). RNAcentral's name for it is "lncRNA (ENSEASG00005035797.1)". Lineage: Eukaryota; Metazoa; Chordata; Mammalia; Perissodactyla; Equidae. The record is from RNAcentral.